This is a long non-coding RNA of Carassius gibelio (silver crucian carp), 685 nucleotides long. RefSeq lists it as uncharacterized. The transcript is spliced from 3 exons. The record is from RefSeq and is a predicted model, not a curated record. Lineage: Eukaryota; Metazoa; Chordata; Actinopteri; Cypriniformes; Cyprinidae.
GGGAGAUGUGAGAGCUGAUGCAGAGCGCGUGUCGACGGCUGGAGAGCUGAAGAUAAAGGCCUCGAGAGCAACAAACUCACACACCGCUGACAAACGAGCAUGACGACUCUGGCUGGAAUUACAGACAACAACAGUCGAAUUCAGGGAUGAGCUGUGAGAUGUUGCCCGGUUCCUCAAGUGGAAGGUCCACCUGCUGCAUGUUCACAUGCUGUGUGGACACGAUGGAGGAACGAUCAUCCUCCAGCAUCUAUGAGAAAACAACCAGAGCUCAGAAUUAGAAAAGCACAAACAGCGGGGUCCAAAACUCACACAAAAAAAUCUGUCAUUUCAAAUCUCACAGGUAAGGCAGGCUCUGUGCCCUGAGCUUUGCGCUUUUGUCCACGGGGUCCAGAUGGAGGAGGCAUGACUGAUUCAUCAAGGGUCGUGCGACUGCCCUCCAUGGCUGAAGCCUGCAGGACACUGGGCUCCUCCAGGAUGGUCUGGUCUACAAAAAGCCAACAAAUAGGCAUUCGUGACAAACUACUUGUUCCAGAGAUCUGUCCUGACCUUGAGCAGUCUGCUGUUCCAGAGGGGCUGAGCUGGCAGAGAGAAGAGCUUCUCCACUCCUCCUGUUUCCUUCCACAUCAUCAGUUUCUUGGUAGGGGGAGCCAGAUCCAGAGUGGUGACAAUGUCAGAGUAGUCGCUC